CUCAAGCUAUCCGCACCACCCUCUCUUCCAUUUCAUGCGAAGAUUGUAGUCCCGCAGCCCUGCGACCAGCGGCCGGAAGCAGCUAAGAUGCUACUGCUCCCAGCAUGCCCCGCGAGGCGCGCACAGCACAGGCCCUCUCUCAAGGUCACCACCUCCACUCCCGUUGUAUGCUGGGAUUGUAGUCCGGCCGCCCUGUGACUAACGGCUGGAACCGCCUAAGACACCACCCCAGCCAGCAUGGCCGGCAGGAGCGCACCGCGCUGUCUCCCUCCAGGGAUCCGCACCGCCCUACAAUCCUGCUUUGUGCUGAGAUUGUAGUCCUGCAGGCGUACAACUAACAAGCUGGGUGCAGAUAAGAGACUACAGCUCCCCGCAUCCCAAGCAAAGGUCCCUCCUCUACGGAGCCCCUCCACGCGUCCACUGCGGUUCCGCCGUGCCAAGGGGAGCUUGGCUGUUCACGGGCCUCACCUGCUAGCGAGAAGAUAGCUUGGCCGGGCGGCUGAUCUCACCUUGUAAUUCUGACACUGUGUCUCCCGGGCUUGUCGGCUUCAUGACUUGUGCCCAAAGUUUGAUUUCUCGCAGACCAGGAGGACCCAUUGGACCCCCGGGCUGGCUGCAGGGCCCACACCUGGGUUAGACCUCGCACAGGGACGCUGCUGCCACUGUAAUAAAGCGUGCCUACACGCUUCUGAAACUGGUGUAGGAACAACCUCAGUUCUGUGAAAGGCGGACGCAGCAGGACAGAAUCUCCGUGGACAUCUGUCUGGAGGAGCAAUUUUACUGCGACAUUUUAAAGAAACAAAUUUAAUUGAUUUCCAAGGCUUGAGUGUGAUUAAAAAAAAAAAAUUAAAAGGUAAACUUCACCGUGCAGGAAGAAGCAUAGGAAAAGAGAGAGAGAAAAGAACAAAGAAAAAAAAGAAUAGCAAGUCUCUCCAAGUACUAUGGAAACAAACAGAAAGUGGAAUUAGGAAAAAAGAGAGGAAGAAGGUCUGAGUAGUCCAAGGGACACGGGAGGCCAGUUGGGAAGACCGCCCGGGCGAGACCAGGAAGAUCAAGGCCACAGUGAAUCACGAUCCCAUCCCUCUGCUCAACCUGAAUUGUACUGCUGCUGGCGAGAGAGAUCUGGUCGACCUUAGACAUGGCAAGGCGAGAGGUGAGGUCCAUCAGGUCGACCUUAGUCCAACGCUCACAGCCGACAUCUCUCUCAAAAUAAAUA
This 1216-nucleotide long non-coding RNA is filed under the name Homo sapiens (human). RNAcentral's name for it is "non-protein coding LINC00662:5". Lineage: Eukaryota; Metazoa; Chordata; Mammalia; Primates; Hominidae. The record is from RNAcentral.